CCUACGGGAGGCAGCAGUGGGGGAUAUUGCACAAUGGGGGAAACCCUGAUGCAGCGACGCCGCGUGUGGGAAGACGGUCCUCUGGAUUGUAAACCACUGUCCCCAGGGACGAAGAUGACGGUUCCUGGGGAGGAAGCUCCGGCAAACUACGUGCCAGCAGCCGCGGUAAUACGUAGGGGGCGAGCGUUGUCCGGAUUUACUGGGUGAAAAGGGAGCGUCGGCGGGACUGCAAGUUGGUGUUCAAAUCUACCGGCUCAACCGGUAGCCGCACUCAAAACUGCAGUUCUUGAGUGAAGUAGAGGCAGGCGGAAUUCCUAGUGUAGCGGUGAAAUGCGUAGAUAUUAGGAGGAACACCAGUGGCGAAGGCGGCCUGCUGGGCUUUUACUGACGCUGAGGCGCGAAAGUGUGGGGAGCAAACAGGAUUAGAUACCCCUGUAGUC
This 440-nucleotide ribosomal RNA is filed under the name uncultured bacterium. RNAcentral's name for it is "partial 16S ribosomal RNA". It matches the Rfam family "Bacterial small subunit ribosomal RNA", at positions 338 to 795 of the family's 1533-position model. The record is from RNAcentral.